AGUGAUGUUAAUAUGGGCUAA
This 21-nucleotide non-coding RNA is filed under the name Arabidopsis thaliana (thale cress). The record is from RNAcentral. Lineage: Eukaryota; Viridiplantae; Streptophyta; Magnoliopsida; Brassicales; Brassicaceae.